This 2902-nucleotide ribosomal RNA is filed under the name Klebsiella pneumoniae. Its description in RNAcentral is "23S ribosomal RNA". It matches the Rfam family "Bacterial large subunit ribosomal RNA". Lineage: Bacteria; Pseudomonadati; Pseudomonadota; Gammaproteobacteria; Enterobacterales; Enterobacteriaceae. The record is from RNAcentral.
GGUUAAGCGACUAAGCGUACACGGUGGAUGCCCUGGCAGUCAGAGGCGAUGAAGGACGUGCUAAUCUGCGAAAAGCGUCGGUAAGGUGAUAUGAACCGUUAUAACCGGCGAUGUCCGAAUGGGGAAACCCAGUGUGAUUCGUCACACUAUCGUUAACUGAAUACAUAGGUUAACGAGGCGAACCGGGGGAACUGAAACAUCUAAGUACCCCGAGGAAAAGAAAUCAACCGAGAUUCCCCCAGUAGCGGCGAGCGAACGGGGAGCAGCCCAGAGUCUGAAUCAGCUUGUGUGUUAGUGGAACGGUCUGGAAAGUCCGACGGUACAGGGUGAUAGUCCCGUACACCAAAAUGCACAGGCUGUGAACUCGAAGAGUAGGGCGGGACACGUGGUAUCCUGUCUGAAUAUGGGGGGACCAUCCUCCAAGGCUAAAUACUCCUGACUGACCGAUAGUGAACCAGUACCGUGAGGGAAAGGCGAAAAGAACCCCGGCGAGGGGAGUGAAAAAGAACCUGAAACCGUGUACGUACAAGCAGUGGGAGCACCUUCGGGUGUGACUGCGUACCUUUUGUAUAAUGGGUCAGCGACUUAUAUUCUGUAGCAAGGUUAACCGUAUAGGGGAGCCGCAGGGAAACCGAGUCUUAACUGGGCGUUAAGUUGCAGGGUAUAGACCCGAAACCCGGUGAUCUAGCCAUGGGCAGGUUGAAGGUUGGGUAACACUAACUGGAGGACCGAACCGACUAAUGUUGAAAAAUUAGCGGAUGACUUGUGGCUGGGGGUGAAAGGCCAAUCAAACCGGGAGAUAGCUGGUUCUCCCCGAAAGCUAUUUAGGUAGCGCCUCGUGAAUUCAUCUUCGGGGGUAGAGCACUGUUUCGGCUAGGGGGUCAUCCCGACUUACCAACCCGAUGCAAACUACGAAUACCGAAGAAUGUUAUCACGGGAGACACACGGCGGGUGCUAACGUCCGUCGUGAAGAGGGAAACAACCCAGACCGCCAGCUAAGGUCCCAAAGUCAUGGUUAAGUGGGAAACGAUGUGGGAAGGCACAGACAGCCAGGAUGUUGGCUUAGAAGCAGCCAUCAUUUAAAGAAAGCGUAAUAGCUCACUGGUCGAGUCGGCCUGCGCGGAAGAUGUAACGGGGCUAAACCAUGCACCGAAGCUGCGGCAGCGACACUAUGUGUUGUUGGGUAGGGGAGCGUUCUGUAAGCCUGCGAAGGUGACCUGUGAGGGUUGCUGGAGGUAUCAGAAGUGCGAAUGCUGACAUAAGUAACGAUAAAGCGGGUGAAAAGCCCGCUCGCCGGAAGACCAAGGGUUCCUGUCCAACGUUAAUCGGGGCAGGGUGAGUCGACCCCUAAGGCGAGGCCGAAAGGCGUAGUCGAUGGGAAACAGGUUAAUAUUCCUGUACUUGGUGUUACUGCGAAGGGGGGACGGAGAAGGCUAUGUUAGCCGGGCGACGGUUGUCCCGGUUUAAGCAUGUAGGCUGGUUAUCCAGGCAAAUCCGGAUAAUCAAGGCUGAGGUGUGAUGACGAGGCACUACGGUGCUGAAGUAACAAAUGCCCUGCUUCCAGGAAAAGCCUCUAAGCAUCAGGUAACAUCAAAUCGUACCCCAAACCGACACAGGUGGUCAGGUAGAGAAUACCAAGGCGCUUGAGAGAACUCGGGUGAAGGAACUAGGCAAAAUGGUGCCGUAACUUCGGGAGAAGGCACGCUGGUGUGUAGGUGAAGCCCCUGCGGGUGGAGCUGAGACCAGUCGAAGAUACCAGCUGGCUGCAACUGUUUAUUAAAAACACAGCACUGUGCAAACACGAAAGUGGACGUAUACGGUGUGACGCCUGCCCGGUGCCGGAAGGUUAAUUGAUGGGGUUAUCCGUAAGGAGAAGCUCUUGAUCGAAGCCCCGGUAAACGGCGGCCGUAACUAUAACGGUCCUAAGGUAGCGAAAUUCCUUGUCGGGUAAGUUCCGACCUGCACGAAUGGCGUAAUGAUGGCCAGGCUGUCUCCACCCGAGACUCAGUGAAAUUGAACUCGCUGUGAAGAUGCAGUGUACCCGCGGCAAGACGGAAAGACCCCGUGAACCUUUACUAUAGCUUGACACUGAACAUUGAGCCUUGAUGUGUAGGAUAGGUGGGAGGCUUUGAAGCGUGGACGCCAGUCUGCGUGGAGCCAACCUUGAAAUACCACCCUUUAAUGUUUGAUGUUCUAACGUUGGCCCCUGACCGGGGUUGCGGACAGUGUCUGGUGGGUAGUUUGACUGGGGCGGUCUCCUCCCAAAGCGUAACGGAGGAGCACGAAGGUUAGCUAAUCCUGGUCGGACAUCAGGAGGUUAGUGCAAUGGCAUAAGCUAGCUUGACUGCGAGCGUGACGGCGCGAGCAGGUGCGAAAGCAGGUCAUAGUGAUCCGGUGGUUCUGAAUGGAAGGGCCAUCGCUCAACGGAUAAAAGGUACUCCGGGGAUAACAGGCUGAUACCGCCCAAGAGUUCAUAUCGACGGCGGUGUUUGGCACCUCGAUGUCGGCUCAUCACAUCCUGGGGCUGAAGUAGGUCCCAAGGGUAUGGCUGUUCGCCAUUUAAAGUGGUACGCGAGCUGGGUUUAGAACGUCGUGAGACAGUUCGGUCCCUAUCUGCCGUGGGCGCUGGAGAAUUGAGGGGGGCUGCUCCUAGUACGAGAGGACCGGAGUGGACGCAUCACUGGUGUUCGGGUUGUCAUGCCAAUGGCACUGCCCGGUAGCUAAAUGCGGAAGAGAUAAGUGCUGAAAGCAUCUAAGCACGAAACUUGCCCCGAGAUGAGUUCUCCCUGAGACUUUAAGUCUCCUGAAGGAACGUUAAAGACGAUGACGUUGAUAGGCCGGGUGUGUAAGCGCAGCGAUGCGUUGAGCUAACCGGUACUAAUGAACCGUGAGGCUUAACCUU